This is a non-coding RNA of Carica papaya (papaya), 607 nucleotides long. The record is from RefSeq and is a predicted model, not a curated record. Lineage: Eukaryota; Viridiplantae; Streptophyta; Magnoliopsida; Brassicales; Caricaceae.
UUCCUCUUUGAUGUGAGAUUGCAUAAUUGGAACUAAAUUUAAGUUAUUUUUGAUAAAGUCAGUCUCUCUCAAUUUUCUUAUUCUUCUAAAUUUUUCACUUUACAAAGAGAGAAAGAGAGGCUUCGACACAGAGAGAGAUAACCCUAAGUGCAGCUAAUAGAGGCACAAGCUCUACCCCACCUCACUAAAGCAAGUUGAAGCUUGCCAUGUCUACACGACUCCACGCUUCUGCAACUCCGACUACUGCAGCGAACUUCCCUCUUCAAACCACCCGCAUAAACUUCUUACUUUCGAAACACCAAGGACUCAACACCACAAGGAAACACACGAGGAAAUUGAGGGAAAGGGGUUUGGAGGGGUGAAGGCACAAUUGUGUGGAGGUGUGUUCGCGUUGGAACGCUUGCAAGGAGGCUUCCAUGUGCGAGUGUCAACGCGUAUAAGUCUACCAAACAUGUUAGCGUGCUGAGACGCCCACGUGCAUAGAGCCGUGUCACAUGACUGAGUGUUCACACACACUGCACGCAAGGAGGGCCUGUCCCAAUAGGCCAAAUUAUUGGGACAACUUGCUCAUGGCACGCUCGAGCACGGGGCACACCAAUUGGGCUUC